This 253-nucleotide ribosomal RNA is filed under the name uncultured bacterium. Its description in RNAcentral is "partial 16S ribosomal RNA". It matches the Rfam family "Bacterial small subunit ribosomal RNA", at positions 524 to 776 of the family's 1533-position model. The record is from RNAcentral.
UACGGAGGGGGCUAGCGUUGUUCGGAAUUACUGGGCGUAAAGCGCACGUAGGCGGCUUUGCAAGUUAGAGGUGAAAGCCCGGGGCUCAACUCCGGAAUUGCCUUUAAAACUGCAUCGCUAGAAUUGUGGAGAGGUAAGUGGAAUUCCUGGUGUAGCGGUGAAAUGCGUAGAGAUCAGGAAGAACAUCGGUGGCGAAGGCGCUCUGCUGGACCAUAACUGACACUCAGGGACGAAAGCUAGGGGAGCGAAUGGG